This 301-nucleotide ribosomal RNA is filed under the name uncultured bacterium. RNAcentral's name for it is "partial 16S ribosomal RNA". It matches the Rfam family "Bacterial small subunit ribosomal RNA", at positions 509 to 807 of the family's 1533-position model. The record is from RNAcentral.
CAGCAGCCGCGGUAAUACGUAGGGUGCAAGCGUUAAUCGGAAUUACUGGGCGUAAAGCGUGCGCAGGCGGUUAUAUAAGACAGAUGUGAAAUCCCCGGGCUCAACCUGGGAACUGCAUUUGUGACUGUAUAGCUAGAGUACGGCAGAGGGGGAUGGAAUUCCGCGUGUAGCAGUGAAAUGCGUAGAUAUGCGGAGGAACACCGAUGGCGAAGGCAAUCCCCUGGGCCUGUACUGACGCUCAUGCACGAAAGCGUGGGGAGCAAACAGGAUUAGAUACCCGAGUAGUCCCUGUCUCUUAUAC